UGCAACCGUUGGUGUCACAAUGGA
RNAcentral lists this non-coding RNA (24 nucleotides) under Arabidopsis thaliana (thale cress). The record is from RNAcentral. Lineage: Eukaryota; Viridiplantae; Streptophyta; Magnoliopsida; Brassicales; Brassicaceae.